Molecule: ribosomal RNA, 2921 nt
Filed under: Staphylococcus aureus
Lineage: Bacteria; Bacillati; Bacillota; Bacilli; Caryophanales; Staphylococcaceae
Description: bacterial LSU rRNA
Rfam family: Bacterial large subunit ribosomal RNA
Source: RNAcentral
UUAAGUUAUUAAGGGCGCACGGUGGAUGCCUUGGCACUAGAAGCCGAUGAAGGACGUUACUAACGACGAUAUGCUUUGGGGAGCUGUAAGUAAGCUUUGAUCCAGAGAUUUCCGAAUGGGGAAACCCAGCAUGAGUUAUGUCAUGUUAUCGAUAUGUGAAUACAUAGCAUAUCAGAAGGCACACCCGGAGAACUGAAACAUCUUAGUACCCGGAGGAAGAGAAAGAAAAUUCGAUUCCCUUAGUAGCGGCGAGCGAAACGGGAAGAGCCCAAACCAACAAGCUUGCUUGUUGGGGUUGUAGGACACUCUAUACGGAGUUACAAAGGACGACAUUAGACGAAUCAUCUGGAAAGAUGAAUCAAAGAAGGUAAUAAUCCUGUAGUCGAAAAUGUUGUCUCUCUUGAGUGGAUCCUGAGUACGACGGAGCACGUGAAAUUCCGUCGGAAUCUGGGAGGACCAUCUCCUAAGGCUAAAUACUCUCUAGUGACCGAUAGUGAACCAGUACCGUGAGGGAAAGGUGAAAAGCACCCCGGAAGGGGAGUGAAAUAGAACCUGAAACCGUGUGCUUACAAGUAGUCAGAGCCCGUUAAUGGGUGAUGGCGUGCCUUUUGUAGAAUGAACCGGCGAGUUACGAUUUGAUGCAAGGUUAAGCAGUAAAUGUGGAGCCGUAGCGAAAGCGAGUCUGAAUAGGGCGUUUAGUAUUUGGUCGUAGACCCGAAACCAGGUGAUCUACCCUUGGUCAGGUUGAAGUUCAGGUAACACUGAAUGGAGGACCGAACCGACUUACGUUGAAAAGUGAGCGGAUGAACUGAGGGUAGCGGAGAAAUUCCAAUCGAACCUGGAGAUAGCUGGUUCUCUCCGAAAUAGCUUUAGGGCUAGCCUCAAGUGAUGAUUAUUGGAGGUAGAGCACUGUUUGGACGAGGGGCCCCUCUCGGGUUACCGAAUUCAGACAAACUCCGAAUGCCAAUUAAUUUAACUUGGGAGUCAGAACAUGGGUGAUAAGGUCCGUGUUCGAAAGGGAAACAGCCCAGACCACCAGCUAAGGUCCCAAAAUAUAUGUUAAGUGGAAAAGGAUGUGGCGUUGCCCAGACAACUAGGAUGUUGGCUUAGAAGCAGCCAUCAUUUAAAGAGUGCGUAAUAGCUCACUAGUCGAGUGACACUGCGCCGAAAAUGUACCGGGGCUAAACAUAUUACCGAAGCUGUGGAUUGUCCUUUGGACAAUGGUAGGAGAGCGUUCUAAGGGCGUUGAAGCAUGAUCGUAAGGACAUGUGGAGCGCUUAGAAGUGAGAAUGCCGGUGUGAGUAGCGAAAGACGGGUGAGAAUCCCGUCCACCGAUUGACUAAGGUUUCCAGAGGAAGGCUCGUCCGCUCUGGGUUAGUCGGGUCCUAAGCUGAGGCCGACAGGCGUAGGCGAUGGAUAACAGGUUGAUAUUCCUGUACCACCUAUAAUCGUUUUAAUCGAUGGGGGGACGCAGUAGGAUAGGCGAAGCGUGCGAUUGGAUUGCACGUCUAAGCAGUAAGGCUGAGUAUUAGGCAAAUCCGGUACUCGUUAAGGCUGAGCUGUGAUGGGGAGAAGACGUUGUGUCUUCGAGUCGUUGAUUUCACACUGCCGAGAAAAGCCUCUAGAUAGAAAAUAGGUGCCCGUACCGCAAACCGACACAGGUAGUCAAGAUGAGAAUUCUAAGGUGAGCGAGCGAACUCUCGUUAAGGAACUCGGCAAAAUGACCCCGUAACUUCGGGAGAAGGGGUGCUCUUUAGGGUUAACGCCCAGAAGAGCCGCAGUGAAUAGGCCCAAGCGACUGUUUAUCAAAAACACAGGUCUCUGCUAAACCGUAAGGUGAUGUAUAGGGGCUGACGCCUGCCCGGUGCUGGAAGGUUAAGAGGAGUGGUUAGCUUCUGCGAAGCUACGAAUCGAAGCCCCAGUAAACGGCGGCCGUAACUAUAACGGUCCUAAGGUAGCGAAAUUCCUUGUCGGGUAAGUUCCGACCCGCACGAAAGGCGUAACGAUUUGGGCACUGUCUCAACGAGAGACUCGGUGAAAUCAUAGUACCUGUGAAGAUGCAGGUUACCCGCGACAGGACGGAAAGACCCCGUGGAGCUUUACUGUAGCCUGAUAUUGAAAUUCGGCACAGCUUGUACAGGAUAGGUAGGAGCCUUUGAAACGUGAGCGCUAGCUUACGUGGAGGCGCUGGUGGGAUACUACCCUAGCUGUGUUGGCUUUCUAACCCGCACCACUUAUCGUGGUGGGAGACAGUGUCAGGCGGGCAGUUUGACUGGGGCGGUCGCCUCCUAAAAGGUAACGGAGGCGCUCAAAGGUUCCCUCAGAAUGGUUGGAAAUCAUUCAUAGAGUGUAAAGGCAUAAGGGAGCUUGACUGCGAGACCUACAAGUCGAGCAGGGUCGAAAGACGGACUUAGUGAUCCGGUGGUUCCGCAUGGAAGGGCCAUCGCUCAACGGAUAAAAGCUACCCCGGGGAUAACAGGCUUAUCUCCCCCAAGAGUUCACAUCGACGGGGAGGUUUGGCACCUCGAUGUCGGCUCAUCGCAUCCUGGGGCUGUAGUCGGUCCCAAGGGUUGGGCUGUUCGCCCAUUAAAGCGGUACGCGAGCUGGGUUCAGAACGUCGUGAGACAGUUCGGUCCCUAUCCGUCGUGGGCGUAGGAAAUUUGAGAGGUGCUGUCCUUAGUACGAGAGGACCGGGAUGGACAUACCUCUGGUGUACCAGUUGUCGUGCCAACGGCAUAGCUGGGUAGCUAUGUGUGGACGGGAUAAGUGCUGAAAGCAUCUAAGCAUGAAGCCCCCCUCAAGAUGAGAUUUCCCAACUUCGGUUAUAAGAUCCCUCAAAGAUGAUGAGGUUAAUAGGUUCGAGGUGGAAGCAUGGUGACAUGUGGAGCUGACGAAUACUAAUCGAUCGAAGACUUAAUCAA